GACGAACGCUGGCGGCGUGCCUAAUACAUGCAAGUCGAACGCAUUUUCUUUCACCGUAGCUUGCUACACCGAAAGGAAAUGAGUGGCGAACGGGUGAGUAACACGUGGGUAACCUGCCCAUCAGCGGGGGAUAACACUUGGAAACAGGUGCUAAUACCGCAUAAUUCCAUUUACCGCAUGGUAGAUGGAUGAAAGGCGCUUUUGCGUCACUGAUGGAUGGACCCGCGGUGCAUUAGCUAGUUGGUGGGGUAACGGCCUACCAAGGCUGCGAUGCAUAGCCGACCUGAGAGGGUGAUCGGCCACACUGGGACUGAGACACGGCCCAGACUCCUACGGGAGGCAGCAGUAGGGAAUCUUCGGCAAUGGACACAAGUCUGACCGAGCAACGCCGCGUGAGUGAAGAAGGUUUUCGGAUCGUAAAACUCUGUUGUUAGAGAAGAACAAGGAUGAGAGUGGAAAGUUCAUCCCUUGACGGUAUCUAACCAGAAAGCCACGGCUAACUACGUG
Molecule: ribosomal RNA, 507 nt
Filed under: uncultured bacterium
Lineage: Bacteria
Description: partial 16S ribosomal RNA
Rfam family: Bacterial small subunit ribosomal RNA
Source: RNAcentral